This 505-nucleotide ribosomal RNA is filed under the name uncultured bacterium. RNAcentral's name for it is "partial 16S ribosomal RNA". It matches the Rfam family "Bacterial small subunit ribosomal RNA", at positions 28 to 507 of the family's 1533-position model. The record is from RNAcentral.
GACGAACGCUGGCGGCGUGCCUAAUACAUGCAAGUAGAACGCACAGUUUAUACCGUAGCUUGCUACACCAUAGACUGUGAGUUGCGAACGGGUGAGUAACGCGUAGGUAACCUGCCUGGUAGCGGGGGAUAACUAUUGGAAACGAUAGCUAAUACAGCAUAAUAUUGAUUAUUGCAUGAUAAUUGAUUGAAAGAUGCUAUUGCAUCACUACCAGAUGGACCUGCGUUGUAUUAGCUAGUAGGUGAGGUAACGGCUCACCUAGGCGACGAUACAUAGCCGACCUGAGAGGGUGAUCGGCCACACUGGGACUUAGACACGGCCCAGACUCCUACGGGAGGCAGCAGUAGGGAAUCUUCGGCAAUUGACGAAAGUCUGACCGAGCAACGCCGCGUGAGUGAAGAAGGUUUUCGGAUCGUAAAGCUCUGUUGUAAGAGAAGAACGGGUGUGAGAGUGGAAAGUUCACACUGUGACGGUAUCUUACCAGAAAGGGACGGCUAACUACGUG